RNAcentral lists this unclassified non-coding RNA (357 nucleotides) under soil metagenome. Its description in RNAcentral is "partial contains 5.8S ribosomal RNA, internal transcribed spacer 2, and large subunit ribosomal RNA". The stretch from base 1 to 119 matches the Rfam family "5.8S ribosomal RNA", at positions 35 to 154 of the family's 154-position model. The record is from RNAcentral.
GAUGAAAACGUAGCGAAAUGCGAUAAGUAAUGUGAAUUGCAGAAUUCAGUGAAUCAUCGAAUCUUUGAACGCACAUUGCGCCCGUCAGUAUUCUGGCGGGCAUGCCUGUUCGAGCGUCAUUACGCCCCUCAAGUCCCCUGUGGACUUGGUGUUGGGGAUCGGCGAGGCUGGUUUUCCAGCACAGCCGUCCCUUAAAUUAAUUGGCGGUCUCGCCGUGGCCCUCCUCUGCGCAGUAGUAAAACACUCGCAACAGGAGCCCGGCGCGGUCCACUGCCGUAAAACCCCCCAACUUUUUAUAGUUGACCUCGAAUCAGGUAGGACUACCCGCUGAACUUAAGCAUAUCAAUAAGCGGAGGA